AAUGUUGAAAAAUUAGCGGAUGACUUGUGGCUGGGGGUGAAAGGCCAAUCAAACCGGGAGAUAGCUGGUUCUCCCCGAAAGCUAUUUAGGUAGCGCCUCGUGAAUUCAUCUCCGGGGGUAGAGCACUGUUUCGGCAAGGGGGUCAUCCCGACUUACCAACCCGAUGCAAACUGCGAAUACCGGAGAAUGUUAUCACGGGAGACACACGGCGGGUGCUAACGUCCGUCGUGAAGAGGGAAACAACCCAGACCGCCAGCUAAGGUCCCAAAGUCAUGGUUAAGUGGGAAACGAUGUGGGAAGGCCCAGACAGCCAGGAUGUUGGCUUAGAAGCAGCCAUCAUUUAAAGAAAGCGUAAUAGCUCACUGGUCGAGUCGGCCUGCGCGGAAGAUGUAACGGGGCUAAACCAUGCACCGAAGCUGCGGCAGCGACACUGUGUGUUGUUGGGUAGGGGAGCGU
Molecule: ribosomal RNA, 456 nt
Filed under: Escherichia coli
Lineage: Bacteria; Pseudomonadati; Pseudomonadota; Gammaproteobacteria; Enterobacterales; Enterobacteriaceae
Description: partial 23S ribosomal RNA
Rfam family: Bacterial large subunit ribosomal RNA
Source: RNAcentral